AACGAACGCUGGCGGCAGGCCUAACACAUGCAAGUCGAGCGAGCGCUUCGGCCCUAGCGGCGGACGGGUGAGUCACGCGUGGGAACGUGCCCUUCUCUCUGGCAUAGCUCUGGGAAACCGGGAGUAAUGCCGGAUACGCGCUCGUGGAAUGGCUCAUCGUGAGGAAAGAUUUUACGUGGAAGGAUCGGCCCGCGUCGGAUCAGGUAGAUGGUUGGGUGACGGCAUACCAAGCCGAGGAUCCGUAGAUGGUCUGAGAGAAUGAUCAGUCACACUGGGGCUGAGACACGGCCCAGACUCCUACGGGAGGCAGCAGUGGGGAAUCGUGGAACAUGGGGGCAACCCUGAUGCAGCCAUGACGGGUGAGCGAUGAAGGCAUUAGGGUUGUAAAGCUCUUUCAGCGGGGAAGAUAAUGACGGUACCCGAAGAAGAAGCCCCGGCUAACUCCGUG
Molecule: ribosomal RNA, 448 nt
Filed under: uncultured bacterium
Lineage: Bacteria
Description: partial 16S ribosomal RNA
Rfam family: Bacterial small subunit ribosomal RNA
Source: RNAcentral